RNAcentral lists this ribosomal RNA (497 nucleotides) under uncultured bacterium. Its description in RNAcentral is "partial 16S ribosomal RNA". It matches the Rfam family "Bacterial small subunit ribosomal RNA", at positions 28 to 507 of the family's 1533-position model. The record is from RNAcentral.
GAUGAACGCUGGCGGCGUGCCUAAUACAUGCAAGUCGAGCGAACGGACGAGAAGCUUGCUUCUCUGAUGUUAGCGGCGGACGGGUGAGUAACACGUGGAUAACCUACCUAUAAGACUGGGAUAACUUCGGGAAACCGGAGCUAAUACCGGAUGAUAUUUUGAACCGCAUGGUUCAAAAGUGAAAGACGGUCUUGCUGUCACUUAUAGAUGGAUCCGCGCUGCAUUAGCUAGUUGGUAAGGUAACGGCUUACCAAGGCAACGAUGCAUAGCCGACCUGAGAGGGUGAUCGGCCACACUGGAACUGAGACACGGUCCAGACUCCUACGGGGGGUAGCAGUAGGGAAUCUUCCGCAAUGGGCGAAAGCCUGACGGAGCAACGCCGCGUGAGUGAUGAAGGUCUUCGGAUCGUAAAACUCUGUUAUUAGGGAAGAACAUAUGUGUAAGUAACUGUGCACAUCUUGACGGUACCUAAUCAGAAAGCCACGGCUAACUACGUG